Molecule: long non-coding RNA, 723 nt
Filed under: Anas platyrhynchos platyrhynchos (common mallard)
Lineage: Eukaryota; Metazoa; Chordata; Aves; Anseriformes; Anatidae
Description: lncRNA (ENSAPLG00000018154.1)
Source: RNAcentral
UGGUUUAGCAGCCAGCGUUCCAGUGAAGGAGCAUUUCUCAAAGGCUCUUCACUCAGAGAUGGGGAGCAGGUGUUGCAGUCAGCCCAUAAGAGUUCCUCUCUGCUGCUUCUUCCGCUAAACACUUUUCAGAUAUGUGCAAAGGACGGAAAAGUAAUAAAUCUAUGCUCAUGCAGCAGGAGAGGUGAGUGGAACACAUACAGAACCAUCUCCAGGCACUGCAGACCAUUGCUGAUAUGCUUGAAAGUUGACAUUGUUAAUUUUUCCUCUAGAAAUCAUUGGCUGUUUUUUUUUUCUAGUUAGUUCAGUGGAGGCUUUUAUAAAUAUGUUUUUAAAAUAAUGUUUUUAAAUAAUGCAAUAAUGCUAAAUGCUUAUAAAACACACUCUAAUGACAUCGUUUUAGGUUCUAUGUGUCAGUGUCUGUGUGUAGGUUUUACUCUAAGCACAUACAAAGCAUUCCAGCCAUCAUUAUGCUCCAACUAGAGAAAGUGUUUUUGCAAAAGCCAUGUUGUUAACUUUUAUAGUGUUUAUGAAUUUUCUGAUGCUUUAUAUACGUGUGUGUGUGUGUGUAUGUAAUAUAUAUGAUUUCUCUCUGUAAAGAAGAGUUCACAAAUCUACAUUUCUGAGCUAUUAGUUUUCAGGAAUGUUUUCCUUGCACCUCUAUGGUCACCUAUAUGUGGCAUAAGUUCAGGCUGAUUGCAAUAAAAAGGUGGUACAUUCAUGACA